GUAUGAAGGACUAAACGGAAACUUUACUUUUUUAUAUUUAUGUUAUUUAAAUUUAGUUUUUUAGUUAAAAAACUAAAGUAAAUUAAAGGGACGAGAAGACCCUAUAGAAUUUAAAAAUAAUUUUGGUAUUAAUAUUUUUUGAUUGGGGUGAUCAGAAAAAUUAACUUUUCUUUUAAAUUUGCAUUUUAAAUGUGUAUUGGAUCCUAAAAUUUAGAUAGUAAGAUAAAAUUACCUUAGGGAUAACAGCAUAAUUUUUUUUUGAAGAUCUUAUUUAUAGAAGAGAUUAUGACCUCGAUGUUGAAUUAAUAUAAUAUUUGGGAGCAGAAUUUUAAAUAUAUAGUCUGUUCGACUUUAAAUUUUACAUGAUUUGAGUUCAAACCGGCGUGAGCCAGGUUGGUUUCUAUCUUUUAAUUUU
This 415-nucleotide ribosomal RNA is filed under the name Livia caricis. RNAcentral's name for it is "partial large subunit ribosomal RNA". The stretch from base 59 to 415 matches the Rfam family "Bacterial large subunit ribosomal RNA", at positions 2048 to 2652 of the family's 2925-position model. Lineage: Eukaryota; Metazoa; Arthropoda; Insecta; Hemiptera; Liviidae. The record is from RNAcentral.